UGGGGAAUAUUGGACAAUGGGCGCAAGCCUGAUCCAGCCAUGCCGCGUGAGUGAUGAAGGCCCUAGGGUUGUAAAGCUCUUUCACCGGUGAAGAUAAUGACGGUAACCGGAGAAGAAGCCCCGGCUAACUUCGUGCCAGCAGCCGCGGUAAUACGAAGGGGGCUAGCGUUGUUCGGAUUUACUGGGCGUAAAGCGCACGUAGGCGGACUUUUAAGUCAGGGGUGAAAUCCCGGGGCUCAAACCCGGAACUGCCUUUGAUACUGGAAGUCGUGAGUAUGGUAGAGGUGAGUGGAAUUCCGAGUGUAGAGGUGAAAUUCGUAGAUAUUCGGAGGAACACCAGUGGCGAAGGCGGCUCACUGGACCAUUACUGACGCUGGGGUGCGAAAGCGUGGGGAGCAAACAGG
Molecule: ribosomal RNA, 404 nt
Filed under: Actinomycetes bacterium
Lineage: Bacteria; Bacillati; Actinomycetota; Actinomycetes
Description: Actinobacteria bacterium partial 16S ribosomal RNA
Rfam family: Bacterial small subunit ribosomal RNA
Source: RNAcentral